Molecule: ribosomal RNA, 486 nt
Filed under: uncultured bacterium
Lineage: Bacteria
Description: bacterial SSU rRNA
Rfam family: Bacterial small subunit ribosomal RNA
Source: RNAcentral
UGGCUCAGAACGAACGCUGGUGGCGUGUCUAUACAUGCAAGUCGAGCGAGGCAGCAAUGCCUAGCGGCGAACGGGUGAGUAACGCGUAAGCAAUCUGCCCCAUAUCAGGAAAUACCCGUGCCAACGCGCGGUUAAUGUCCAGGAGCGUGGCCUUCCGCAUGGGAGGUUGACAAGAGAUUUAUCGGUAUGGGAUGAGCUUGCGUCCGAUUAGCUAGUUGGCGGGGCAACGGCCCACCAAGGCGACGAUCGGUAGCCGGCCUGAGAGGGUGAUCGGCCACAUUGGGACUGAGAUACGGCCCAGACUCCUACGGGAGGCAGCAGUAGGGAAUAUUGCACAAUGGGGGAAACCCUGAUGCAGCAACGCCAACCGUGUGGGAAGAAGCAUUUCGGUGUGUAAACCACUGUCGUGAGGGAAUAAGGCGUCUUCUCGGAGACGUUGAAUGUACCUCGAAAGGAAGCACCGGCAAACUUCGUGCCAGCCGCGGC